CCAGACUCCUACGGGAGGCAGCAGUGGGGAAUAUUGGGCAAUGGGCGCAAGCCUGACCCAGCAACGCCGCGUGAAGGAAGAAGGCUUUCGGGUUGUAAACUUCUUUUCUCAGGGACGAAGAAAGUGACGGUACCUGGGGAAUAAGCCACGGCUAACUACGUGCCAGCAGCCGCGGUAAUACGGAGGAUGCGAGCGUUAUCCGGAUUUAUUGGGUUUAAAGGGUGCGUAGGCGGAAUGCCAAGUCAGCGGUAAACUCGGGGGGCUCACCCUGGCGCCGCCGUUGAAACUGGCGUUCUUGAGUGGGCGAGAAGUAUGCGGAAUGCGUGGUGGAGCGGUGAAAUGCAUAGAUAUCACGCAGAACUCCGAUUGCGGAGGCAGCAUACCGGCGCCCAACUGACGCUGAAGCACGAAAGCGUGGGUAUCGAACAGGAUUAGAUACCCUAGUAA
This 447-nucleotide ribosomal RNA is filed under the name uncultured bacterium. Its description in RNAcentral is "bacterial SSU rRNA". It matches the Rfam family "Bacterial small subunit ribosomal RNA", at positions 331 to 793 of the family's 1533-position model. The record is from RNAcentral.